Molecule: non-coding RNA, 179 nt
Organism: Salvia hispanica
Lineage: Eukaryota; Viridiplantae; Streptophyta; Magnoliopsida; Lamiales; Lamiaceae
Source: RefSeq, a predicted model, not a curated record
UCUCCUUGUUUUUGUUUUCCAUCCGGCAAAACCGCCGUUCAUCUCUUCCCCAACCUCCAUAUCUAUUUUCUUCCAAUGUUGAUCAAUAUAUAUAUCGAUUUGAUUGUGUACUCAUAGCGUUGAGUGCAUAAGGCGGAGGAUUAUCGACGGUGGUAAAAAGAUAGGAUAAGGAUUGGAAG